GAUGAACGCUGACAGAAUGCUUAACACAUGCAAGUCUUUGGCGAAGCUGUGCUUGCACCGCCUAGCCAAGGCGGACGGGUGAGUAACGCGUAAGGAACUUGCCCUGCAGUCAGGGAUAACAGACGGAAACGACUGAUAAGACCUGGUAAAGUCAGGCGGACUCAUGUCCAGCCUGAUGAAAAGAGAUGCUGCAGGAGAGCCUUGCGUCCUAUUAGCUUGUUGGUGGGGUAACGGCCCACCAAGGCGAUGAUAGGUAGCCGGCCUGAGAGGGUGGACGGCCACAAGGGGACUGAGAUACGGCCCUUACUCCUACGGGAGGCAGCAGUGGGGAAUAUUGGACAAUGGGGGCAACCCUGAUACAGCAAUUCUGUGUGCACGAUGAAGGUUUUCGGAUUGUAAAGUGCUUUCAGCAGGGAAGAAAAAAAUGACGGUACCUGCAGAAGAAGCGACGGCUAAAUACGUG
This 463-nucleotide ribosomal RNA is filed under the name uncultured bacterium. Its description in RNAcentral is "partial 16S ribosomal RNA". It matches the Rfam family "Bacterial small subunit ribosomal RNA", at positions 28 to 507 of the family's 1533-position model. The record is from RNAcentral.